GAUGAAGAACGUAGUGAAAUGCGAUACUUGGUGUGAAUUGCAGAAUCCCGUGAACCAUCGAGUCUUUGAACGCAAGUUGCGCCCGAAGCCACUAGGCCGAGGGCACGCCUGCCUGGGCGUCACACGCCGUUGCCCCCCCAUCUACUCCUUCGGGAUUGCGGGGGGGCGGAUGAUGGCCUCCCGUGCGCCUAGCCGCGCGGUUGGCAUAAAUACCAAGUCCUCGGCGACGCACGCCACGACAAUCGGUGGUUGCGAAACCUCGGUUGCCCGUCGUGUGCGUUCGUCGCGCAUCGAGGGCGCGAAAAAAUGCUCGGCUCCGGCUGGGCUUUCAACGCGACCCCAGGUCAGGCGGGGUUACCCGCUGAAUUUAAGCAUAUCAAUAAGCGGAGGA
This 391-nucleotide unclassified non-coding RNA is filed under the name soil metagenome. Its description in RNAcentral is "partial contains 5.8S ribosomal RNA, internal transcribed spacer 2, and large subunit ribosomal RNA". The stretch from base 1 to 122 matches the Rfam family "5.8S ribosomal RNA", at positions 35 to 154 of the family's 154-position model. The record is from RNAcentral.